GAAAAACCUUACAAUGCACUGCUCCAAAUUAUUACGCACAGUAAGUUUCAAAACACUUUACAGGUUAUAAAGAACUGAAAACGGCCAUUUAUUGUGUUUGCAGCAUAUUUACUGAAAUCAAAAGCUAUUUCAAUCAAACUUAUAACAACAAUUUAACUUUUUAAACAUUUUAACAGGUCACGUUACAUUUUAACAUAAGACCCUUCAUUUAAUAGCAGCUUCACAAGUCUUGCAUCCAUUGAACUUGUGAGUUUUUGGACAGUUUCUGCUUGAAUUUGUUUGCAAGAUGUCAGAAUAGCCUCCCAGAGCUGCUGUUUGGAUCUAUACUGCCUCCCACCCUUGUAGAUCGUUUGCUUGAGGAUGCUCCAAAAGUUCUCAAUAGGAUUGAGGUCAGGGGAGGAUGGAGUCCACACCAUGACUUUCUCUCCUUUUAUCCCCAUAGCAGAAAUUGAUGAAGAGGUAUUCUUUGCAGCAUAAGAUGGUGCAUUGUCAUGCAUGAAGAUGAUUUUAUUAUGGAAAGCAUAGUUCUUCCUUCUGUACCAAGGAAGAAAGUGGUCAGUCAGAAACUCCACAUACUUUGCAGAGGUCAUCUUUACACCUUUGGGGACCCUAAAGGGGACGACCAGCUUUCUUCCCAUGAUUCCGUCCCAAUACAUGACUCCACCACCGCCUUGCUGACGUCGCAGCUUUGUUGGAACAGGGUGGUCGUCCACCAACCAUCCAUCUGGACCAUCCAGGGUUGCAUGGCACUCAUCAGUGAACAGGACUGUUUUGAAAAUUAGUCUUCAUGUAUUUUCUUGUGAGCAUUGGUUAGUGGUGGUCAAAUAGAAGGUUUAUGCACAGUUGCAAGACUCUGGAGGACUCUACACCUUGAUAUCCGUGGGACUCCAGAGGCACCAGCAGCUUCAAAUAUCUGUUUGCUGCUAUGUAAUGGUAUUUUAGCAACUGCUCUCUUGAUCCGAUGCAUGGAUCUGGCAGAAAUCUUCCUCAAUGUGCCUUUAUCUGCAUGAACUCGUCUGUGCUCUGAAUCAGCCACAAGUUUUCAUGAAAUAUCUAAUGUUUUCAUACCUCGUCCAAGGCAUUGAACUAUUUAAUUAUUUUUGGCAGCAGAAAGAUCCUUUUUCUUCCCCAAAUUACAUGAAAAUGGGCUCUUAAUAAUGUGGAACACCCUCUUUUAGAAGUUUUUCCUUAAAUUGGACUCACCUUGCAAUUUAAUUAUCACAGGUGUCCGAGAUUGUUUUCAGUGAUCAAAAGAGCCCUGAGACACAAUGCCAUCCAUGAGUUAAACUGAAAAACAAAAUAUUAAAUCUUUGUGACACAAAUAGAAUUUGCAUAAUAAUUUGGAACAGGAUGUAUAGAAGAAAUUGGUAACAAACUUGCUCUGAUCUUCAGCUCUUUGUAGCAUUAAAAACCGUGGUUAUGAAAGCAUUAUUUGUUGUAAUAUUGAUGUUGCAUUCCCUUUAAAACACACAAAUAGUCCAGGUUUUGUCAGUGCCUAAAACCUGGGCUGUUUGAUGUCCCUUGUGGACAGUAUGGGGAACACCCGACCUAGAUAACAGACAUUAGGGGAUAUUUAUGGUGACUUUGGUGCAAAGAGAUAAAUGCUGAGAUACAUUAUAUUGAUUUUCAUGGGGAUUACUACAUAUUCAGCACUUUACCUCAUAUGGUACCUGUUUUUGUCCCACUUUGCCCCAAUAGUACCUGUUUUUCCCUUGAUAAAUCUUAUCCUAUGUUUUUUAUUCCUUAUUAUAUGUGGAUGUCUUCCAACAUGUGUGCCAUUUUUUGCUUUCUAUAUUGUACUGUAUAUUUCUUAUGUUAAAUUUACUAUAAAAAAAUGCCCACAGACAAGAUCACUAUAUUCACUGUUCCUUUUCUUUCUCGGUGUAAAACCAAUUAAUUUAGGCUGUUUUGUUUGUACAGAUCCAAACCUCACCCACUCUCUGUCGAUAAUAGUAGGACCGUAGAGCAAUAAACUCAAGGCUUUUCACACGGGUCACUGUUGGCAGCCUUCAAACAUUACAGAACGCAAUUCUUUUGCAUAAAAUAAGUCAUUAGCACGAUAACGCAGUUGCCAAUUAU
RNAcentral lists this long non-coding RNA (2079 nucleotides) under Pelobates cultripes (western spadefoot toad). The record is from RNAcentral. Lineage: Eukaryota; Metazoa; Chordata; Amphibia; Anura; Pelobatidae.